Molecule: non-coding RNA, 2245 nt
Organism: Paramisgurnus dabryanus
Lineage: Eukaryota; Metazoa; Chordata; Actinopteri; Cypriniformes; Cobitidae
Source: RefSeq, a predicted model, not a curated record
UUUCACCUGCCCAAGCCCAUUUUAAUACACAUAGUACAACCCAGAACCAACUAAAUGGGUGGAAAACAUUCUGCCUGACAAGACUGAUGGAGAAUACUGGUGAAAAUGUAAUGCUCUUUAUCUCCUACAGCACACACACACACACACACACACACACACACACACACACACACACACACACACACACACACACACACACACACACACACACACACACUGGGGGAAAUCUGUCCUUAAAAGCAAAUGCUGGUCGUAUGAUCUGUAUCCACACAUCCAUCCAGUAAAACCUUUCAUAGAAACUGCCAGUAAACAAUAAAUACGAUAAUUGUUUAUAAACAAAUAAUAUUAUGCUCAUAAAAAUAUGCCAAUUUAGCUGUUUUAUUUAUUCUGCUAUAUAUUAUUACAAAAAUGUGAUUACAGUACAGAAUAUAUAUGACAUAAACUGCUUCACGUUCACAAGGUCACGUUCUUUCUGAUCCCAUUUUUAAACCCUAGUUAGUGUGUAAUGUUGCUUUCAUAGCAUAAAUAAUACCUGUAAAAUGAUAAAGCUGAAAGUUCACUGCCAGUCGAUUUAUUUUCUUUAACAGAAUUCGCCUUUCAAAGCCUACAGCGAACGGCCGGUUUGGACUUCAGCCCUCUACUUUCUGCUUUAAUGAUGUCACUAGAACAGUUUUUUGACUAAACUCCGCCCACAGGAAUACAUCAGUGGCCAGCUAAGCUAACGGUGCGAGCCAAGCCAAUUUUAUUUAUUGGGAAACAGGAUAAAAAGGCUUCGAAUAAGUGGGUUGCAUAUAUUAUUACCCAUUGGCACCCCACUCCUGUCACUACAAUUUUUUGGAGGAGAUGCGGAGGGCUUUAUCUUGACAAAAGCAACCUCCACAGGACAGCAGCCUGAGAGCCUUGCCAUGGAGCGGCCUGAGAGCCCUGCUGAGAAAUGGCCGGAGAACCUCACCAAGAAGUCUGAGGCUAUAUUUGUACUAAAUCUUGUUCUUCUGUCUUCUAGACUCUCUCCAACCUCUCUUGCUCCUACUACCUCUACUGCUUUUACAACAAUUUUCUCUCCACUUUUUUUCCCCACCUCCACUGCCAUGCUCUAAGUUUUUGCCACAGAGGAAGAGGAAGAUAAAGAAAUCUACCUCUUCCCACUAUACCACACUUGUCUCUCUUCAAUUUGCAUCUGUCUCUUCCAGUUCUAAAUCUCAGAAGUGGCCACUGGUGAAGAACAGAAUAAAGGAUAACUUUUCCUGUUACAUCUUACUCCACAAUUUGCUCCUAGUCAAAUAUGUCUUCAUGUUAAUUAAAUUCAUUUAGCUAACCAGGUAUUUGUUAGCCAGUUCACAGUGUUUUAGAGCCCAAUGUCCAAGGACUGUGGUCAAUGUAAAUUCCUGACUUAAAUGGACACUUCACUUUUUUUUGCUAAUUUUCCAGCAGUAAGUUUUACCGUUUUAGAAUCCAUUCAGCUGAUCUCCGCGUCUGGCACUACCUUUUUUAGCAUAGCUUAGCAUAAUAAUUGAAUCUGAUUAGGCCAUUAGCAUCACGCCAAAAAAUAACCAAAGAGUUUCGAUAUUUUUCCUAUUUAAAACUUGACUCUUCUGUAGUUACAUCGUGUACUAAGACAGACGGAAAAUUAAAAGUUGUGAUUUUCUCAGCUGAUAUUUCUAGGAACUAUACUCUUAUUCUGUCGUAAUAAUCAAGGACUUUGCUGUCGUAACAUGGCUGCAGAAGGCAUAAUGAUAUAACGCAGUGCCCGAAAAUAGUCCCCUUAGUAUCUUUCAAUAGCAGGGGACUUUUUUCGGGCACUGCGUAAUAUCAUUUUGGUUGAUUGACAAAAACAAGCACAAAUUUGUUUGACACUAAUGGAAAGGACUGCAAAUCACUUCACAUAAAUAUGGACUCAUGUGAUUCACCUACAAAGCAUGGCAUUCAUGGCUUAAUAAACUUUUUGUCUUUUCAUCAUUUCAGGUUGCUGAAAAUGUAGAUGGCAGAAGGUUUCCUUUUCGAUAAAAUAACUGAGGAACAGAUAAAUGAGAGGAAAGCCGAAUUGAAAGUUCACUGGUUACGUGCUCUGUGUGUGGAAAAACCUGGGAUGACACAUAGGAGCCUGCCAGCGAAUUCCAACACAAGUCCCCACAUCCCAACCAGUUUUCAGCAUGACAGCCUACACCUUUACAUUAUCAAGCACCCUUCAACUGUUUAAUUUUGAGUGUCUUUGCUUGCUGUUCUUUAUUAAAGUUUUUGCACAGUA